RNAcentral lists this ribosomal RNA (376 nucleotides) under uncultured bacterium. RNAcentral describes it as "bacterial SSU rRNA". It matches the Rfam family "Bacterial small subunit ribosomal RNA", at positions 523 to 898 of the family's 1533-position model. The record is from RNAcentral.
AUACGGAGGGUGCAAGCGUUAAUCGGAAUUACUGGGCGUAAAGCGCGCGUAGGUGGUUGGGUAAGUCAAAUGUGAAAGCCCCGGGCUUAACCUGGGAAUUGCAUUCGAUACUGCUUAACUAGAGUGUGGGAGAGGGAAGUGGAAUUUCCGGUGUAGCGGUGAAAUGCGUAGAUAUCGGAAGGAACACCAGUGGCGAAGGCGACUUCCUGGCCCAACACUGACACUGAGGCGCGAAAGCGUGGGUAGCAAACAGGAUUAGAUACCCUGGUAGUCCACGCCGUAAACGAUGAGAACUAGAUGUCGGGGGGAUUUGCCCUUCGGUGUCGCAGUUAACGCAUUAAGUUCUCCGCCUGGGGAGUACGCCGGCAACGGUAAA